CAACAACACGCAAAAAACAAACAGUGCUGUCGCCAAAAAAAACAAAAAAACAAAAAAAAAAAAAAAAAAAAAAAUUUUUUUUUUUUUUUUUUUUUUUGUUUUUUUGUUUUUUUUGGCGACAGCACUGUUUGUUUUUUGCGUGUUGUUGCUCUUGCUUGAAGAUAUUUUUGCUUUCGAGCAAGAGCUGAAAGUUUACG
This 197-nucleotide non-coding RNA is filed under the name Ctenophora environmental sample. The record is from RNAcentral. Lineage: Eukaryota; Metazoa; Ctenophora.